Molecule: ribosomal RNA, 303 nt
Filed under: uncultured bacterium
Lineage: Bacteria
Description: partial 16S ribosomal RNA
Rfam family: Bacterial small subunit ribosomal RNA
Source: RNAcentral
AGCAGUCGCCACGGGAAUACGUAGGGUGCGAGCGUUAAUCGGAAUUACUGGGCGUAAAGCGUGCGUAGGCGGCUUCUUAAGUCGGAUGUGAAAUCCCUGAGCUUAACUUAGGAAUUGCAUUCGAUACUGGGAAGCUAGAGUAUGGGAGAGGAUGGUAGAAUUCCAGGUGUAGCGGUGAAAUGCGUAGAGAUCUGGAGGAAUACCGAUGGCGAAGGCAGCCAUCUGGCCUAAUACUGACGCUGAGGUACGAAAGCAUGGGGAGCAAACAGGAUUAGAUACCCCUGUAGUCCCUGUCUCUUAUAC